This 27-nucleotide non-coding RNA is filed under the name Mus musculus (house mouse). Lineage: Eukaryota; Metazoa; Chordata; Mammalia; Rodentia; Muridae. The record is from RNAcentral.
UAGUCCAAAAGUGUUUUAGAGUAAGGA